CGUGUGGCCGGGGCUGGCGGCGGUGGCGGCAGCCCCGGGUGCCGCCCCUUCCGGCCCGCCGGGCGUCGCACGAGGC
This 76-nucleotide microRNA precursor is filed under the name Ovis aries (sheep). RNAcentral's name for it is "miRNA (ENSOARG00000022539.1)". Lineage: Eukaryota; Metazoa; Chordata; Mammalia; Artiodactyla; Bovidae. The record is from RNAcentral.